AGUGAACGCUGGCGGUAGGCCUAACACAUGCAAGUCGAACGGCAGCACAGUAAGAGCUUGCUCUUACGGGUGGGAAUGGCCGGCGGGGGGGGGAAUACAUCGAAUUCUCCUUUUUGGGGGGGGAUAAGGUAGGAAACCUUACGCUAAUACGCCAUAGAACCUAGGGGGAAAGCCAGGGAAUCUUGGACCCUUCGCGGAUGGAAUAGCCGAUGUCGGAUUAGCUAGUUGGCGGGGUAAAGGCCCACCAAGGCGACGAUCCGUAGCUGGUCUGAGAGGAUGAUCAGCCACACUGGAACUGAGACACGGUCCAGACUCCUACGGGAGGCAGCAGUGGGGAAUAUUGGACAAUGGGCGCAAGCCUGAUCCAGCCAUACCGCGUGGGUGAAGAAGGCCUUCGGGUUGUAAAGCCCUUUUGUUGGGAAAGAAAAGCAGCAGGUUAAUACCCCGCUGUUCUGACGGUACCCAAAGAAUAAGCACCGGCUAACUUCGUG
This 491-nucleotide ribosomal RNA is filed under the name uncultured bacterium. Its description in RNAcentral is "partial 16S ribosomal RNA". It matches the Rfam family "Bacterial small subunit ribosomal RNA", at positions 29 to 507 of the family's 1533-position model. The record is from RNAcentral.